UUGGAACUUUCAGGCUUGAGAUAGUUAGAGGCAAGUGGAAUUCCUGGUGUAGAAGUGAAAUUCGUAGAUAUCAGGAGGAACACCAGUGGCGAAGGCGACUUGCUGGAGCUAGUCUGACGCUGAGGUGCGAAAGCGUAGGUAGCAAACAGGAUUAGAUACCCUGGUAGUCUACGCCCUAAACAAUGAGUGUCAGCUGUAUGUGGCUUCGAAUCCACAUGUGGCGCAGCUAACGCGAUGAACACUCCGCCUGGGAAGUACGGUCGCAAGACUAAAACUCAAAGGAAUUGACGGGGACCCGCACAAGCGGUGGAACAUGUGGUUUAAUUCGAAGCAACGCGAAGAACCUUACCUGGAUUUGACAUCCUUGAAAAGCAAUAGAGAUAUUGCCUUCCUUUCGAGGAUCAAGUGACAGGUGCUGCAUGGCUGUCGUCAGCUCGUGUCGUGAGAUGUUGGGUUAAGUCCCGCAACGAGCGCAACCCUUACCCUUAAUUGCCAGCGAUUCGGUCGGGAACUUUAAGGGGACUGCCGGUGUCAAGCCGGAGGAAGGUGGGGAUGACGUCAAGUCCUCAUGGCCUUUAUGUCCAGGGCUACACACGUGUUACAAUGGCAAGUACAGAGAGACGCUUGAUCGUGAGAUAGGGCAAAUCUUAAAAACUUGUCUCAGUUCGGAUUGCAGUCUGCAACUCGACUGCAUGAAGUUGGAAUCGCUAGUAAUCGCAAAUCAGCAUGUUGCGGUGAAUCCGUUCCCGGGUCUUGUACACACCGCCCGUCACACCAUGGGUGUUGACUUCAGCAGAAGACGCCGAGUUAACCGAAAGGAAAUAAGCGUCCAAGCUGGUGUUAAUGACUGGGGUGAAGUCGUAACAAGGUAAC
Molecule: ribosomal RNA, 873 nt
Filed under: uncultured bacterium
Lineage: Bacteria
Description: bacterial SSU rRNA
Rfam family: Bacterial small subunit ribosomal RNA
Source: RNAcentral